Molecule: non-coding RNA, 848 nt
Filed under: Orbilia oligospora ATCC 24927
Lineage: Eukaryota; Fungi; Ascomycota; Orbiliomycetes; Orbiliales; Orbiliaceae
Description: Arthrobotrys oligospora ATCC 24927 Bacterial small subunit ribosomal RNA
Rfam family: Bacterial small subunit ribosomal RNA
Source: Rfam by way of RNAcentral
GAGUUUGAUGAUGGCUCUGAAUGAACGCUAUUCAAAUGCCUGACACAUGCUAAUCGUACGUUUGUAGUUUAACAAUUGUUAACUACAAAAGUGGUGUACAGGUGAGUAAAUGGUGAAUUGGUUACCUUAAAGUGAGGGAUAAAAUACCUUAUAACAAAAGGAGUAAUCUGCUUUAAGAUAUUAGUUGUAUCUCGGGUAGGUAGUAGGAGAGGUAAUUGCUCAACUAGCCUAAUAUCCCGUAGUCGAGGCUGAAAGGUCGAUCGACCACAUUGGAUAUGAACAAAAUUCAAUGCAUGAUAGUACAGCAGUGAGGGAUAUUGGUCAAUAGCCGAAAGGCUGAACCAGCAAUUUGAAAGAAUGGCCUUCCGGUCUUAGCCGGUUUGAGGGGGGAUAGAUUAUAUGUAAGAAAUUAUGUAUAAAGGGGUCCAAGCCUUAGGUCAAAAGCCUAGGAUUAAAGUUCUGAAUAGAAUAAUGAUAAUGACAAUUUUCUAAUUCAAGUGUCUUGACAAAUUCAUGUGCCAGCAGUCGCGGUAAUACAUGAUAGACUAGUGUUAUUCAUCUUUAAUGGGUUUAAAGGGUACCUAGACGGAAGUUCAAGCCUGCGAGGGGACUGAAUUUCUAGAGUUUUAUGUGAGAAGGGGAGUACUACUGAUGGAGAGAUGAAAUUUGAUGAUAUCUUUAGGACUGGUAAAGGCGAAGGCAACCUUUUAAGUAAAAACUGACGUUGAGGGACGAAGGCUUAGGUCACGAACAGGAUUAGAUACCCUAGUAGUCUUUGCAGAAAACGCUGAAUGCUAUAGGUUAGAAUUAAAAUUUUUGCCUAUAAAUGAAAAUGUAAGCAUUCCACC